Molecule: ribosomal RNA, 510 nt
Filed under: uncultured bacterium
Lineage: Bacteria
Description: partial 16S ribosomal RNA
Rfam family: Bacterial small subunit ribosomal RNA
Source: RNAcentral
GACGAACGCUGGCGGCGUGCUUAACACAUGCAAGUCGAACGAAGAGCGAUGGAAGCUUGCUUCUAUCAAUCUUAGUGGCGAACGGGUGAGUAACGCGUAAUCAACCUGCCCUUCAGAGGGGGACAACAGUUGGAAACGACUGCUAAUACCGCAUACGAUCUAACCUCGGCAUCGAGGAUAAAUGAAAGGUGGCCUCUACAUGUAAGCUAUCACUGAAGGAGGGGAUUGCGUCUGAUUAGCUAGUUGGAGGGGUAACGGCCCACCAAGGCGAUGAUCAGUAGCCGGUCUGAGAGGAUGAACGGCCACAUUGGGACUGAGACACGGCCCAGACUCCUACGGGAGGCAGCAGUGGGGAAUCUUCCGCAAUGGACGAAAGUCUGACGGAGCAACGCCGCGUGAGUGAUGACGGCCUUCGGGUUGUAAAGCUCUGUUAAUCGGGACGAAAGGCCUUCUUGCGAAUAGUGAGAAGGAUUGACGGUACCGGAAUAGAAAGCCACGGCUAACUACGUG